RNAcentral lists this ribosomal RNA (484 nucleotides) under uncultured prokaryote. RNAcentral describes it as "bacterial SSU rRNA". It matches the Rfam family "Bacterial small subunit ribosomal RNA", at positions 355 to 834 of the family's 1533-position model. The record is from RNAcentral.
UCGGGAAUCUUGCACAAUGGGCGAAAGCCUGAUGCAGCAACGCCGUGUGGGCGAGGAAGGCCUUCGGGUCGUAAAGCCCUGUUGUUGGGGACGAAGGGCGAAGGGUUAAUAGCCCCUAGCCUGACGGUACCCUUCGAGGAAGCCCCGGCUAACUACGUGCCAGCAGCCGCGGUAAUACGUAGGGGGCGAGCGUUGUUCGGAAUUACUGGGCGUAAAGCGCGCGUAGGCGGCUAUUCAAGUCAGAGGUGAAAGCCCGGGGCUCAACUCCGGAACUGCCUUUGAAACUAGAUAGCUAGAAUCCAGGAGAGGUGAGUGGAAUUCCGAGUGUAGAGGUGAAAUUCGUAGAUAUUCGGAAGAACACCAGUGGCGAAGGCGACUCACUGGACUGGUAUUGACGCUGAGGUGCGAAAGCGUGGGGAGCAAACAGGAUUAGAUACCCCCGUAGUCCAAUAUUCCCCACUGCAGCCACCCGUAGGAUGAACUG